RNAcentral lists this ribosomal RNA (772 nucleotides) under uncultured bacterium. Its description in RNAcentral is "bacterial SSU rRNA". It matches the Rfam family "Bacterial small subunit ribosomal RNA", at positions 8 to 796 of the family's 1533-position model. The record is from RNAcentral.
AGAGUUUGAUCAUGGCUCAGGACGAACGCUGGCGGCGUGCUUAACACAUGCAAGUCGAGCGGUAAGGCCCUUUCGGGGGUACACGAGCGGCGAACGGGUGAGUAACACGUGAGUAAUCUGCCCUCCACUUUGGGAUAAGCCUCGGAAACGGGGUCUAAUACCGGAUAUGAGCUUCCUACGCAUGUGGGUUGCUGGAAAGUUUUUCGGUGGGGGAUGUGCUCGCGGCCUAUCAGCUUGUUGGUGGGGUAAUGGCCUACCAAGGCUUCGACGGGUAGCCGGCCUGAGAGGGUGACCGGCCACACUGGGACUGAGACACGGCCCAGACUCCUACGGGAGGCAGCAGUGGGGAAUAUUGGACAAUGGGCGGAAGCCUGAUCCAGCAACGCCGCGUGAGGGAUGACGGCCUUCGGGUUGUAAACCUCUUUCACCUCCGACGAAGCGAAAGUGACGGUAGGGGGAGAAGAAGCACCGGCCAACUACGUGCCAGCAGCCGCGGUAAUACGUAGGGUGCGAGCGUUGUCCGGAAUUAUUGGGCGUAAAGGGCUCGUAGGCGGUUUGUCGCGUCGGGAGUGAAAACACCGGGCUUAACUCGGUGCUGGCUUCCGAUACGGGCAGACUAGAGGUAUUCAGGGGAGAACGGAAUUCCUGGUGUAGCGGUGAAAUGCGCAGAUAUCAGGAGGAACACCGGUGGCGAAGGCGGUUCUCUGGGAAUUACCUGACGCUGAGGAGCGAAAGUGUGGGGAGCGAACAGGAUUAGAUACCCCGGUAGUCC